This 887-nucleotide long non-coding RNA is filed under the name Taeniopygia guttata (zebra finch). Its description in RNAcentral is "lncRNA (ENSTGUG00000025745.1)". Lineage: Eukaryota; Metazoa; Chordata; Aves; Passeriformes; Estrildidae. The record is from RNAcentral.
GGAAAAGUUCAGUCUGUAUCCAAACUUAGUAAACUGAAAGAUCCUAUAUCCAGAGAGAGAAGAAAUGGAGGGAGGCAAGGAGAUUCAAACUCAGAUAUUUAUAACAACAUGUAAGAUGAAGAAUUGAAUUCUCUUGGAUGAUUUUCAAGGACCUGGUGUAUCUGGAUCAGAAAAUGGAGUACGAAAAAUAAAGAAUAAUGGUUUUCAUUUUCCCAUUACAUUCAAAACUCAUAAGGAAAAUCCAGCAGGGAAGCAGAGAAGGUUCAGCUGUCUGAACUGGCUGGAAAGACAGUUGUGCAGAUGGGAUCCAGUGUUUCUUCUUUACACAUGGAAACAGAGGGAACCACUGGGCUUACCAGGUCGGCCUAACAGAGGUCUCCAACACUUGUAUCCAGAAGACAACUUUCAUGCCUGCUUGCCUCCAGUAUUUUGGUUAAGUUUAUGCCAUCUCUAAUUUCUCUGGCACAAAAUCAUCGUAUCUCAAACCAGAAAAUUCCAUUGCUGAAUGGGAAACUGAAUUGUAAGGUAAUGUCAAUGCUAUUGCUCUUGUCCAUGCUCAGGGAGGGAAUUGCCAUUCAAAAAGUACUGUGGCAGGCCUAGAGAAAUCCAGAUAGGCUGGCAGAAUCCUUUGCACUAAAAGUCAGUCGCAACAGAGGAAAAGCAGUUGGUACUGCCACAAGUCCCAUGUAAGUAGCCCAUUGAGGUGCCUAUUGUCCCAGGCAGGUUCAUGGAGUGACCCCCACUGACUUAAGAAAAUCUGGAUGAAGCCUGAGGACUGUGCACAAUUUCCAUGAUGCUCACAAAUUUCCACAGAGCUGUCUGGAGGAGACAAGCAGACUGGUACAGGACAACACAAGGCUGUCUUAGGGACAUCACUGCAAAAGCUU